Molecule: ribosomal RNA, 397 nt
Filed under: uncultured bacterium
Lineage: Bacteria
Description: partial 16S ribosomal RNA
Rfam family: Bacterial small subunit ribosomal RNA
Source: RNAcentral
AUACGUAGGUGACAAGCGUUAUCCGGAUUUACUGGGCGUAAAGGGCGUGUAGGCGGUCUUGCAAGUCAGAAGUGAAAUUCCUGAGCUCAACUCGGGCGCUGCUUCUGAAACUGCAGGACUUGAGUGCUGGAGGGGAAAGCGGAAUUCCUAGUGUAGCGGUGAAAUGCGUAGAUAUUAGGAGGAACACCAGUGGGGAAGGUGGAUUUCUUGCCUGGAACUGGCGCUGAGGCCCCAAAGCCGGGGGAGCGAACGGGAUUAGAUACCCCGGUAGUCCACGCUGUAAACGAUGGGUACUAGGUGUAGGAGGUAUCGACCCCUUCUGUGCCGGAGUUAACGCAAUAAGUACCCCGCCUGGGGAGUACGGCCGCAAGGUUGAAACUCAAAUGAAUUGGCGGGG